UACGGAGGGUGCAAGCGUUGUUCGGAAUUAUUGGGCGUAAAGCGCGUGUAGGCGGUUUGUUAAGUCUGGUGUGAAAGCCCUGGGCUCAACCUGGGAAGUGCAUUGGAUACUGGCAAACUUGAGUACGGGAGAGGAUAGUGGAAUUUCGAGUGUAGGGGUGAAAUCCGUAGAUAUUCGAAGGAACACCGGUGGCGAAGGCGGCUAUCUGGACCGAUACUGACGCUGAGACGCGAAAGCGUGGGGAGCGAACAGG
This 253-nucleotide ribosomal RNA is filed under the name uncultured bacterium. Its description in RNAcentral is "partial 16S ribosomal RNA". It matches the Rfam family "Bacterial small subunit ribosomal RNA", at positions 524 to 776 of the family's 1533-position model. The record is from RNAcentral.